This is a long non-coding RNA of Phalaenopsis equestris, 1143 nucleotides long. RefSeq lists it as uncharacterized. NCBI's taxonomy places the organism in Eukaryota, Viridiplantae, Streptophyta, Magnoliopsida, Asparagales, Orchidaceae. The transcript has 3 exons. The record is from RefSeq and is a predicted model, not a curated record.
GCAGUUCCUUUCUGCGGAGCUAUUUUUUUCGAUUCUGAUGCACGAUAUUGGUCGCCGGGGAAAAAAUUUUCCGUGAAAGAUGGGCAAGAAUCUAGAACCAGGCCAUCCGCCAUGAAGCCUUGUGAUAUUGUUUUGAUGCUUUUUGGGCCAUGUUUGAGAGAGAUUGUUCUUGGAAACUGUCCUGACACACUUCACGGAGCUGGAUGAACUAAUCUAGUUGUAAGGAACGUACAGGGAAGGAUUAUGGCAGGCUUCAGUUGAAAAAUAAAUUGGGCCAACUUCAAGAGCAGAUGCUUCAGACAAAAAUGCUACAAUUCCAGACCCUGGGAUCUGGAAUUGGUUGAUGCAGCUUCUAAAACAAAUAAAGCCACGGUUGCACCAAACAAAUCAUUGUCCUCUAUCACAGAGGCUGUAGAAGAACUUGAUUCUAUCGAUGAACUAGAAGAAAACACUGAACUCUAUGGUUUUGCAAUUGACCUUCUAAGGCCGAAUGAUAAUAGAGAAAUGUUCACGGCAUUGAAACCCCACAAAAAGAUGUUGACAAAUAUUAUUUAUGAAAUCACCAGACAUCUGAUUUCGGCCACUGUUCAAAGCUUAAAGAAAUUUGGCAUAAGAUGGAAAUUUGCAUGUAUUGACUUUGACGUUCUGAUUCCUAGUACUGUGGAAGUUCAAUUCCUGUUCUAACUAACUGAUUUCCGAUUUUGUUUGGAAUCAAUAUGACAAAUAACUCAUGUGCCAAAAUCUUGAUUCAACUUACGGAACCCAAAGAAUUGGUUGGGAACUUCUUUUUCAUAUGUUUAUAAAAAAUGCGCCAGCAUGUAUCUCAAGGAGAUCCAACAGAGACGGUUAAAGUACGGUUAAGGAUGGCCGACUAGCGGGAGGCUGAAGGACUAAGGCAAAUCAACCCGAGCAGAGGCAUCGACCUACUUCUCGCCACAACCCGAUUCAAGGGAAAAGUUCAGUAUCACCAGCUAUCUCGCGAGCGCUCCUGAGAUUCUUCAUCAGAGGUCAAGAAUUGAUAAUAACAUGACCAAUGAGCAUCCUGAAACGAUUCCCGUGAGUUGGGUUUAUAUUUAUUUUAUUCUAUAGAUGGAGUGAUUGGUCUUGGGUUUACUGCACAAUCUCAAUUAAUAUUUCUAUUUU